RNAcentral lists this long non-coding RNA (451 nucleotides) under Olea europaea (common olive). RNAcentral describes it as "long non-coding RNA (OEUR_LNC013964)". Lineage: Eukaryota; Viridiplantae; Streptophyta; Magnoliopsida; Lamiales; Oleaceae. The record is from RNAcentral.
GGGCAACCAAUUUUAUAUAUUUUCUACACACUUGAGGCUGCCAUUAUUAUAUAGACACGUACGGAAAUUGAGGGAGAGAAAAUACUAUAUUUUAUACACACUUUUGAGGCUGAGAUUGGAGAAAAACCGAGAAAGGGGGAGAAUUUUUUCCGCUGCCUUUAAAAGGGAUACAAAGAGAUACAUACGCAGGAGACUAUUGGGAGAAUUAAUUUUAAUGGCUGUCUUUAUUAUCUAUACAUAUAGAAAUUGAGGCACAGUGAAGGACGGUUGCUACUCAAUUACAUACAAAAAGGAGGCAGAAUUUAUAUACGCAUACACGGCAAAAGAUGGUGACACGCGGCAGAUUUACUUUUACAAAUUAUUCACGUUUUGUCAAUUAACCGGGUGAUAAAAUUCAUGACAAUUUCUUAUUUUUCUUUCAUUAACAUGGGUAGCUAAAUUUAAUUUUAGG